Molecule: transfer RNA, 77 nt
Filed under: Shewanella piezotolerans WP3
Lineage: Bacteria; Pseudomonadati; Pseudomonadota; Gammaproteobacteria; Alteromonadales; Shewanellaceae
Description: tRNA-Asp
Source: RNAcentral
CGAGAUACACGCAUCGUCGAUCAUAUUCGCGAUCUGGUUUAUGACAAAGGAACCCUGCCAGAGCGUUCUAUUGGUAC